Arachis stenosperma is the source of this 86-nucleotide small nucleolar RNA. RefSeq annotates it as small nucleolar RNA Z221/R21b. The transcript has a single exon. Lineage: Eukaryota; Viridiplantae; Streptophyta; Magnoliopsida; Fabales; Fabaceae. The record is from RefSeq and is a predicted model, not a curated record.
GGGCUGUGAUGAGUACUAGAGGAAGUCAUGCACCACUCUGAUGAUUCAGUGUUGACAAGCUUCUCAUACCCAUUAAAUCUGAGCCC